RNAcentral lists this ribosomal RNA (478 nucleotides) under uncultured bacterium. RNAcentral's name for it is "partial 16S ribosomal RNA". It matches the Rfam family "Bacterial small subunit ribosomal RNA", at positions 29 to 507 of the family's 1533-position model. The record is from RNAcentral.
AUGAACGCUGGCGGCGUGCUUAACACAUGCAAGUCGAACGAAGCACUUUAACCUGAUUCUUCGGAUGAAGGUUUUUGUGACUGAGUGGCGGACGGGUGAGUAACGCGUGGGUAACCUGCCUCAUACAGGGGGAUAACAGUUAGAAAUGACUGCUAAUACCGCAUAAGACCACAGAGCCGCAUGGCUCGGUGGGAAAAACUCCGGUGGUAUGAGAUGGACCCGCGUCUGAUUAGGUAGUUGGUGGGGUAACGGCCUACCAAGCCAACGAUCAGUAGCCGACCUGAGAGGGUGACCGGCCACAUUGGGACUGAGACACGGCCCAAACUCCUACGGGAGGCAGCAGUGGGGAAUAUUGCACAAUGGGGGAAACCCUGAUGCAGCGACGCCGCGUGAGCGAAGAAGUAUUGCGGUAUGUAAAGCUCUAUCAGCAGGGAAGAAAAUGACGGUACCUGACGAAGAAGCACCGGCUAAAUACGUG